RNAcentral lists this long non-coding RNA (253 nucleotides) under Lathyrus oleraceus (garden pea). RNAcentral describes it as "Pisum sativum (pea) long non-coding RNA (PSAT_LNC011822)". The record is from RNAcentral. Lineage: Eukaryota; Viridiplantae; Streptophyta; Magnoliopsida; Fabales; Fabaceae.
UUUUGGGUUGGUUGUUUGAGCUGAUGUUAUGGAAGCUGUUCCCCCCUGCUGUUUGGAUGUUGAAGUUUUUAUUGUUUUUUUUUAAAUAUGUGUAAUUUGUGGCAGUACUUAUUGAUGCCUUUUUUUAAUAUUUUAGGCUCUUAAUGAGUUCCAUGGAUUUGUUCAUUAUCUCAGCUAUCACAGCUGUGUAUAAUGUUGGUAUCUAUCUCCUGAACAAUUAUGUUUUAACAUGUUAUAUGUUAUGACAUCUGUG